Temnothorax curvispinosus is the source of this 855-nucleotide long non-coding RNA. RefSeq lists it as uncharacterized. The transcript is spliced from 2 exons. The record is from RefSeq and is a predicted model, not a curated record. Lineage: Eukaryota; Metazoa; Arthropoda; Insecta; Hymenoptera; Formicidae.
UAUGUGGUGGUUUCGGAACGCAUUACGUUAUAGUUUAUCAACACGGGAAACGUGCUUAACCUAUUUUCAAUUUAUUUGUCAGAUUAGCAUAGCAUUGUACUACGACGCAGUUUACGAAUAUUCCGAACCGAGAAUAUUACGAACAGAAACCUCAACGGAGUAAAGUGAAUAAUACCGUAUACCAUAGAGAAGACAGUAAACGAAGUAAAUAUAUGCAGAGAAGUCGCGGACGGCUUGCGUAUAUAUUUCGAUUUCGCAUAUUACCUCAUCUCCUGUUAUAUAGGACACUCGACGAGCUCCGGGUUUUCCCUAUCGAUGACGACGGUGAAUGUCUGCCAAGGAUAUGCGCCAGAAGAUGAACAAGAUCUCUUCAACAGAAAAUUGAAUCGCCCAGCAUGUCGAGUAUUUUCCGCAAGAAGUAAACUCCCCUUUGUGUCUUAUAGCAAGAAAUUCUGUGUGAAAAAAUCGAGUAUCACGUCGGCAAGAGAUUCGCGAGUGCAAGCACAAAAAAUUGUUGUUAGGCAUAAAUGUAUAAUGUUGUUUCAACGAAUGUUAACUUAUUUUUUUAUCGCGCUAGCUCUAUGAGUGACGUGUAAAUUAUUUUGUUUAAAUAUUAACACGGUCUGAGGAGUUUAGAGAUGAGAAAAGACGAAUGUUUUUUCACGUUUUGUAAAAUUCGGAUGUCCAUUGUGUCUGCACUCUCGCAGCGUUUGGAAUUUUCUCACUUUCUCAUGAUCCUCUUUAGGUAAAAGAAAAGAAAAAGAGUAAAUUCAAAACGCCACGAUUAACAGUAAUUAAUGUUUAAUUUCGAAGUCUGUCACUUUACAUAGUAAUAAACAAACGUCAUAGAUCAUA